GGUGGCUCAGUGGUAGAGAGCUUGCCUUGCAUGCAUGAGGCCUUGGGUUCGAUUCCUCAGCACCA
This is a non-coding RNA of Dipodomys ordii (Ord's kangaroo rat), 65 nucleotides long. The record is from Rfam. Lineage: Eukaryota; Metazoa; Chordata; Mammalia; Rodentia; Heteromyidae.